Long non-coding RNA from Xiphophorus couchianus (Monterrey platyfish), 2929 nucleotides. RefSeq lists it as uncharacterized. The transcript is spliced from 2 exons. NCBI's taxonomy places the organism in Eukaryota, Metazoa, Chordata, Actinopteri, Cyprinodontiformes, Poeciliidae. The record is from RefSeq and is a predicted model, not a curated record.
UAUAUAUAUAUAUAUAUAUAUAUAUAUAUUCCUUAAGCACAUUACAGUACAUGCUUAAGGAGAAGGAGGUGUCAUGAGGUUUGAUGAACCAAUCAGGGAAAAGCUUUGGUGUAACCAUAUGAGUUGACAGAAACACAAAUAUAUAUACUUCCUUUAUCGCAUAAAAUGCUAAUGAUGUUUUUCGUCCUUCAUCAGACAGAAAUAUUUUUACAUGUUAAAGACAUACUGUCAAAAACAUAAACAAUUACUAACAAAAUAAUGUUUGAUUAAUACCUCAGAUGGAAUAAAUGCUCAUUAAUAGGCUGAAUGCUUUCAUUUUUUGAAGAAACUUCCUGCUCUCCCACUCUAACCAUGACUGCCUUGAUGGUUCAUAAUCCAUGGAGCGGCGCUGCGUCACAGCUCGCCCCGUCAGCAGGGGCGGUCACGUGACCACGGGGGGCCGAGGGGGCAUUACCUCCUUUAUUUACACAUGAGGAAAAUAAUGGAGGAAAACCCAAAGCGAAGUUCAGUCCUACACAGCAAAUUCAAAAGUGGUAGAUUUCCAGUGUUGGUGUUGUGUGUUAAAAAUCCAGUGUUAAUUCAACACUUAAACAUUUUAGUCAAAUUCAACAACAUGAGUUAGUUGGUGUUAUACCAGAGAGUUAAAUAAAAGCAAUUCUGUCUGGUGUUGAUUUCUAAAUUAACACCAGACAGUUCCUUCCGUAUUUGUGACGUCACGUGUUUGCCCGAGGGGCGGAGACAGCAGUAUGGCGUCAGGUCUGGAGCUUAUCAUAACAAGACUCCUGGUGCAUGAUGAGGAGGAGGCGGAUCUGGAUCUGGAUCUGGGUCCAUCCAUCCAUCCAUCCAUCCGUCUGUCCAUCCGUCCAUCCGUCCUUCCAUCCAUCCAUCAUGAGGGUCUGGGAACAGCCAUUGACACUCAGAGGGUCUUGGGGAUCGGAGGUGUCCUUCUCUACAUCACCUCUUUUUCAGCUUCUGAAUGGGGAGUAGCAACCAGUUGGGGUGGGGGCUCAGGAAUGGAGCUCAGCCUCUUUUAGAGUCUGGAGCUCCUUGGUAAUGGGGGUUCCUGUUUGUCCUGGAGGAUGAAGGCCCGGUCCCAAUCUUUUCCCUUCCUCCCUCGUUCCGCCCUUUAGAUGCUUGUUGAAGGUUUGAGUGCGUAGUGCAGCCCAAUUUUCCACUUCUGGCUUUAGCCCCGCCCCCUUUUGACCUCUGGACACACCACAUGCCAGUUCCAUAUCUUAUGUCGAAAUGGCACCAUUGCACUCCAGAACAGAAGGGGGCGCUAUUUCCUGUAUUAGGGCUAGGGUUACCCUUCAGUGAGGAGGAAGAGGAGGGAUGAAGACGAUCCUUCUGGUUUUACAGAAACAUCUGGAAGCAAAUGUUUGAUCUGUCUCACGUUGCAGACGAAGAGGUCAAAGGUCACAGAGGAGCGACCCUGCAGCCUGGAUCAGAACCAGAACGUUAACUGAAUGAAGUUUUCUUUCUAAAGCUGAACAUGCAUGAGAAACAGAAACAGGGAUAAACUUGAGUCUGAUAGUAGGAAAGUUCCCAAACUAAUUCAGAUUUUCCUAAAAGACUGAAAUCUUUUUCAGUCUUUUUAUUUUAUUUUAUAUCUGAUUAUUAAUCCGAAUAAUAUUCAGAUUUUCCUGAAUGUAUUCAUUCACACUGAGAAUCUGGUUGAACAAAAAGCAUUUUUUAAAUAAACAUCAAAAGGUUUUCUGACAAUAGUGGGAAGAUUUGUGUCUAAAAUGUUUAAAGCUUGUUUAACUGUUGGUUUUAGAGUCUGAUUCAUAAGUGGCAUAGUAAUGAAAUAUAACAUGAUCUUUAGAGUUAAAUAGUUUCUAAUAAGGUUAAACUUCAACUUUGUUGUUUCAGUCUGAGAUAAAUCACUGAUUCUAUGACUUAGUUGCAUUUUAAUCCUCUUAUCUGUUUUUAAUAGAAAUACUUUGAUCCAUUUCAGCUUUUCCCUUUUUUUUAAAGGUUUUAUUGGCUCUAGUGGCCUUCAUUUGAUAGUUACUUGACAGGAAAGUGGGUAAUGAGAGAAGGGGGAAGACAUGCGGCAAAGGUCGCCAGGCCGGGAAUCGAACCUGCGACAGCCGCAACGAGAACUAAGGCCUCCUUAAGUGGGUUGUGCUUAACCCCUGCGCUACCACAGCACAUCCCAGCUUUUCCCUUUUUUAAGAUGUAAACAGUUUGGAGACAGAUUAAAAUUAACUUCAGUCUGAAACAACGAGAUAAAAAUCAGAUUUAAAAUAUUUAAGAGGUUUAUUUGGUGGUAGAGUAGGAACGUUUUCUUGUCUUUUCCUUUAUGAUGAGUGAUGUCAGAUUUAUAGAUCAAGAGAUGAGAACGUUUCACUCUGAUUGACUUGAAAAGCAAAAUAAAUGUGAAUAACACUUGAAGAUUUGCAUAAUGAUGUUAAUAGAUCAGAUUUAUAAUUAAAACUGUGGAGAAUCCAACCAAUCAGGGCCUGAAAAAUGUCUGUGGCUUCUGGAUUUUUAUCAAACUGGGAGAAACAAACGGCUGACGGACAACAGAGGGCAGAACUUUAUUUUACAAGACAAAUAUGGAAAACAAAAAGUGCUGAACAGUUUAAAUAAAACCUAAAUUAUUAAAACCGAUAAGCAACAAAACAUCAGAAACUUCCUUCUGAAUCACCGAGGAACCGGACAGGAACCAGAUUGCAACCAGAUCAGAACCUCGCCAGUGGAGACGCUGCAGAGGAUCAUCUGGAGCACAUCAUGGUUCUGGUUCUGAUCCAUAAUUGGAUCAGAAUUCCACCUAUGAUGGCUAACUAUUAAAAACAAAUAAAACCAUUUCUGAGCGAGGAAAACUUCCCGCCUACCCGGCCGCUCUUUCUAGGCACUGAAGGAAGAAGCAGCUGCGUCCCAACAUAAGGCUUUUAAAGCAGAAAAUCUGAACCCAGGAAAGAAA